UACGAAGGGGGCGAGCGUUGUUCGGAAUUACUGGGCGUAAAGGGCGCGUAGGCGGCCUGGCAAGUCAAAGGUGAAAUCCCUCGGCCCAACCGAGGAACUGCCUUUGAAACUGCAAGGCUUGAGGCCGGGAGAGGGUAGCGGAAUUCCCAGUGUAGCGGUGAAAUGCGUAGAUAUUGGGAGGAACACCAGUGGCGAAGGCGGCUACCUGGACCGGUUCUGACGCUGAGGCGCGAAAGCGUGGGGAGCAAACAGG
RNAcentral lists this ribosomal RNA (253 nucleotides) under uncultured bacterium. RNAcentral describes it as "partial 16S ribosomal RNA". It matches the Rfam family "Bacterial small subunit ribosomal RNA", at positions 524 to 776 of the family's 1533-position model. The record is from RNAcentral.